UUUAACUUGUGUUUGUUUUGCAAAAAAGAAUUGCAAGCGUACCCGCUUUUCGGAUAACUUCAGCAUACAUGACUGAAGUAGCAAAUGCAAUCACGCAAAACUUCAGCAUUCUAGUAGACGGGCCUGAAGGAAUAAGUGUGCUGAAGUUUUUGUUUGUAAUUGCUGAAUUUAAGCAUAGUAGCCGAAGUUUUGUUCUCUAUUUGCUGAAGUUUUUGUUUUUUAACAGUUUUUGUUGUGUAACUGGCAAAUUUUAGCUCUAGAGCGGAAGUUUUUGUUUUGUAACUGGCGAACUUCAGCACUAGAGCUGAAGUUUUAUUUUUGUAAAUGGCGAACUUCAGCUCUAGAGCUGAAAAUUUUAUUUUGUAACUAGUGGAGCUGAAGUUUUUGUUUUUGUAACUAGCAAAGUUUUGCUCUAGAGCUGAAGUUUUUGU
Molecule: long non-coding RNA, 431 nt
Filed under: Nicotiana benthamiana
Lineage: Eukaryota; Viridiplantae; Streptophyta; Magnoliopsida; Solanales; Solanaceae
Description: long non-coding RNA (NBEN_LNC015166)
Source: RNAcentral